GAUGAACGCUGGCGGCGUGCUUAACACAUGCAAGUCGAACGAUGAAGCCCAGCUUGCUGGGUGGAUUAGUGGCGAACGGGUGAGUAACACGUGAGUAACCUGCCCUUAACUCUGGGAUAAGCCUGGGAAACUGGGUCUAAUACCGGAUAGGAGCGUCCACCGCAUGGUGGGUGUUGGAAAGAUUUAUCGGUUUUGGAUGGACUCACGGCCUAUCAGCUUGUUGGUGAGGUAAUGGCUCACCAAGGCGACGACGGGUAGCCGGCCUGAGAGGGUGACCGGCCACACUGGGACUGAGACACGGCCCAGACUCCUACGGGAGGCAGCAGUGGGGAAUAUUGCACAAUGGGCGCAAGCCUGAUGCAGCGACGCCGCGUGAGGGAUGUCGGCCUUCGGGUUGUAAACCUCUUUCAGUAGGGAAGAAGCGAAAGUGACGGUACCUGCAGAAGAAGCACCGGCUAACUACGUG
Molecule: ribosomal RNA, 466 nt
Filed under: uncultured bacterium
Lineage: Bacteria
Description: partial 16S ribosomal RNA
Rfam family: Bacterial small subunit ribosomal RNA
Source: RNAcentral